UGUUAAAAAUUUCAUCUAUUUCUACUGUUAAAAAUUGGUGUGGUUACCUCAUUCUGACGUAUAAGGAUAAGUUUUUAAAAGUAAAAAUGGAUGAAAUUUUUAACA
Molecule: non-coding RNA, 105 nt
Organism: Gossypium hirsutum (cotton)
Lineage: Eukaryota; Viridiplantae; Streptophyta; Magnoliopsida; Malvales; Malvaceae
Source: Rfam